AGCAGCAGCCGCGGUAAUACAGAGGGUGCGAGCGUUAAUCGGAUUUACUGGGCGUAAAGCGUGCGUAGGCGGCUUCUUAAGUUGGAUGUGAAAUCCCUGAGCUUAACUUAGGAAUUGCAUUCGAUACUGGGAAGCUAGAGUAUGGGAGAGGAUGGUAGAAUUCCAGGUGUAGCGGUGAAAUGCGUAGAGAUCUGGAGGAAUACCGAUGGCGAAGGCAGCCAUCUGGCCUAAUACUGACGCUGAGGUACGAAAGCAUGGGGAGCAAACAGGAUUAGAUACCCGCGUAGUCCCUGUCUCUUAUAA
Molecule: ribosomal RNA, 303 nt
Filed under: uncultured bacterium
Lineage: Bacteria
Description: partial 16S ribosomal RNA
Rfam family: Bacterial small subunit ribosomal RNA
Source: RNAcentral